ACCACAGCUGUUGGAGGUGGACACUUCAUGGCCCCGCGGCGGGGCACAUGAGAAGGAGGCCUUGUCCCCACAGACUCACCCCAUCACACUGGCUGAAGUAUUUUGGCAUGGAAACCGACCAACUACCCCAUUAACCCAAUACAGCCUUUGAAUGAAACCCUACAGGGCAGGAUGCCUAGAGCAGGUUAUAUCAGACAGAGAAGAGCUGCCAUGUCAAGACAUUGGGACACCUUGUGCCUUUAAGGACACAGCCCCGGGAAGCGUGUGCUGAGAUGUACUGUUCUGGGAGAGGGGAAAUAAAAAGUCCCUCUGCCCCCACUCUAUCUUUGCAAAGACAGCAGCCCGAGGUCGCAGCAGGUGGAACAGACCAGAUUGAGAUGCUUCCGCACCAGAUCUGGGGACCGGCUCCUUAUCAACCAGUUGUCAAGGAGCCUGACCUGGAAGCCCCCAGGACCUGGACUGUGGCAGAGGAGGCGGGAGUGGAGGAUGGAAGGCUUCCUAGACUGCUGAGGGGUAUACCAGCUCAAGGAGCAGAGGGUGGCUUGGGAGUCCUUAAGCCCAUGGAGCCUUGAGUCAGUUAGCUUGGAAAAGAGCCCUGUACCCUCCAAUGGGAGGUCCUGGAUUGUGGCCUCCAUUUCAGGGGACAGCCCAGAAGCCUGCAACCACAAGCUAUGCCUCAUGGUCACUGCUGAUGUGACCUGGCCGUCAAGUCCGUACUAUCCCAGGCCAUCUGGAGGACUCCUCUGGCCACUGCUGUGCCUUCGCUCACUAACGCAGUGAACUCUUUGGCAUGAUCCCAUGAAAUGAUUAAAGGAAACCCACAGGUUGAAAUUAUAAUGUCCCAGCAGGGUCUGGUGAUUAGACACUCCGAACUGCAAGCUGGCCAUCAAAUAAACCUUUUGGCCAAACAA
This is a long non-coding RNA of Malaclemys terrapin pileata, 911 nucleotides long. RefSeq lists it as uncharacterized. The record is from RefSeq and is a predicted model, not a curated record. The transcript is spliced from 4 exons. Lineage: Eukaryota; Metazoa; Chordata; Testudines; Emydidae.